Mustela putorius furo (domestic ferret) is the source of this 103-nucleotide small nuclear RNA. The record is from Ensembl. Lineage: Eukaryota; Metazoa; Chordata; Mammalia; Carnivora; Mustelidae.
GUGUUCGCUUUGGCAGCACAUCACUAAAACUGGAACAGCGUAGAGACUAGCAUGGCCCCUUUGGUAGGAUGACACACAAAUUUGUGAAGUAUUCCGUUAAAAA